Molecule: unclassified non-coding RNA, 229 nt
Filed under: Hevea brasiliensis (rubber tree)
Lineage: Eukaryota; Viridiplantae; Streptophyta; Magnoliopsida; Malpighiales; Euphorbiaceae
Source: RNAcentral
GAUAACCAUAUCACACACUAUCAGCAGUUGGAGGUCUUUGAUACUCUCAAAGAAGCUCUAAAAAUCACUGGCAAAAACAUCAGCUUCUUAAUCAUCACCUUGUUUGCAUCUCUUCCUCUGUUCUUCUUCUCAGUUUACUAUGAAAUUUUGCUCCAAACAACUCUGGUUGAAGCCAUAAAGAUUCUAACACCACCUCCAGGCUACUACAACUACAAUUGGCCAAUCCCAG